GACGAACGCUGGCGGCGUGCUUAACACAUGCAAGUCGAACGGAAAGGCCCCUUUGGGGGUACUCGAGUGGCGAACGGGUGAGUAACACGUGAGUAACCUGCCCUUGACUUCGGGAUAACUUCAGGAAACUGGGGCUAAUACCGGAUAGGAAUCCUUGCUGCAUGGUGGGGGUUGGAAAGCUUCGGCGGUUUUGGAUGGACUCGCGGCUUAUCAGCUUGUUGGUGGGGUAGUGGCUUACCAAGGCUUUGACGGGUAGCCGGCCUGAGAGGGCGACCGGCCACAUUGGGACUGAGAUACGGCCCAGACUCCGACGGGAGGCAGCAGGGGGGAAUAUUGCACAAUGGGCGGAAGCCUGAUGCAGCAACGCCGCGUGCGGGAUGACGGCCUUCGGGUUGUAAACCGAUUUCAGCAGGGGCGAAGCUUGUGGUGACGGUACCUGCAGAAGAAGCACCGGCUAACUACGUG
Molecule: ribosomal RNA, 465 nt
Filed under: uncultured bacterium
Lineage: Bacteria
Description: partial 16S ribosomal RNA
Rfam family: Bacterial small subunit ribosomal RNA
Source: RNAcentral